GAAGAGCACAGCGACGAGACACGGCUGGCACCAGCAGCAUCCCCGCAGGAGGGAACUGGCUUAGCUCCUCCAGCAGCAAGGAAGUGCCAAUAAGCAGAGCAAAACACUGCAAGAGCCCACCCUCCUCUGUUUUCUCACAUGAGUGAUGGCAAACCCAUGAACUAAGAUAUCUCAAACUUCUGUCAGCUAAUGCCUAACAGGGCAAGGAGACAGUGGCUCAGUCUCCAAGGGCCCAGGCACACCAAAGGACUGCUCAAGAGCAGGAGGAGCCUGAGGAUAAAGAAGGAAGCAGAGAUCCUCCUUCAGUGGGAAUGGGAAAUGUUCUUCCUCCCUCCCAGCCCCAGCCUGCUGUCACUGCUGUUAGCCAUGAUAUGCCAACACCUAUUUAAAUAGUGUGCAAGCAUUGCACAAGCCUUGUUCUGACUUCCUACACAAGGCACCCUGGAAGUCCCCACAAAUAUGCAACCGGAGUAUGAGAAAACAGUUUGUAAAAUGAAGAACUCGAGUACGCACAGAGCGGGGGAUGCUCUGGUUUGUCAGGGCGGGCUUUUUUUUCCUCUUAUCAAGUGAGAAAGAAGGGAACUUUGAUCAGGAUUGCAUUUUUGCUAAGGAAGCAAGAGCUUGUUAGAGAUUCACAAAAGAAAAAGCAAUCAGUUCAGAGCCAGCUCGUAAACAAACGUUAAAGUCAGAAGUCUGUAUCAGUGAUUCACAAGAAAAAAAUCCUAGAGUCACCACUGCAGCUUGGAAGCAAAGCGCUCUUCUCAUGUCUGAUUUUGUUUGGGAUUUGGCCAAGUCCUUUUGUCUCUGUUUUUCUGCAAACACUAAACAAACUAGGAGUGAAAACUGGAGACAGAAUGAAACUACCAUCUUCAAGAAACCUGCAGCCUGCAGGAAUUGCUGAAGGACAAAGAGUGUCCAAGGACAGCAGUCAGGCGCUUGGAGAAAAGAAAGCAGUGCUGAAGCAGGGAAGGAAGGAGAAGACAAGGAAGCCUCAACUAACAGCCUGGGGUUUGGGAGGAUUCAAGUACCCUUAGGCUUCACAGCUUUCAUCUGCUGCAAUAAAAUAGUGACAACAGCAGUAAAUUGGGACUGAAAGUCUUCAUUUACACAGUUGAGCAGAGCAGACCCCAAGGCAGUUUGGAGACACAUUACUGACAUGCAGGAGCACCCUGCAGCCAGCUCUGGCAGGGACAGGCAUUAACUGGCUAUUCUCUUUUCUGAUACCUGCUCUCCAGGGCUCUGCUUUGCUGUGUCUCCACGUGGUUGCAGACCAAAAUGGUGAUGGCAUCUGAAGGUAUUCUCCAGCCCUCUGCAUCAAUCUACAAUCCCACAUCUUAUUGCUGCAUUAUACUGAGAACAUACAUGAGAAAAUGCACUUUUCCGUGCCUAGCUGGAAUCUGACCAUUUUAAUCACCUGAGCUUGUGAACAGCACCAUUGACUCCAUGGGUGGCAGAAACCAGCUCCCAGUCCAUGGGCACUGGUGCAAGAAAUUAAGAUGAAUUCAGUGACUGCACACAGGGAGUGGAAAGAAAAUGAUACAGCCUGGCCUCAUCUCAUAUGUCUAUGGAAUAUUAAAAAAAAAAAAAGUGCUAAAUCUUUAAAAUCCCCAGCCAGAAAUGUUAGAAAAAUACUCAACUCAGAGGCAAGGAUUGCCAGGAGAGGCAGUACUUUUGUUAACCAGACAGCAGGGCUCCUUCCCCUGCUCUUUGCCCAAAGGCAGUAUUCCCUAACCAUUUCUUCGAGACCCUUUAUGUAUUACUCACAGUAAAUCAGAGGCUCUGCUGCUGCUGAGAUAUAAGCUGGCAGGGCGUACGCUGCCUGCAGUGCAUUUCUUCCUCAGUGCUAUUAGCUAGCACUCAGCAAUGCCUGGGCCACGUAGCAAGCCCUCGAAGAUGAGCCUCCUUCCUUAAUGCUGAGAGAUCAGUGCCUCCUUCGGGCAGCAGCCCCAGCUCCUGCAGCUAGUGUUAAGUGCCUGUGAACAUCUGUAAUCAGUGCUGCCUGGCACGGCAUCCCCCAUGAAACUCCUGCAGCAAGGCAUGAUUUCAAACCUCUGUCAGCAAUUGGCCGCGGCUUGCAGCUGCUUUGCGCUGCCUGCUCGGGCAGGCGGCUGAGCUGCAAAAGGUCAAGGCACAGCUGAGCCAUCCUGCUGCCCAAACAGCCCUGAGGUCCAGCUCCCUUCACCUCUGCACUGCUGAGCUCAGUUCCCUGCACAGAUUCCAGCUCUGGCUAUGGCAGCGCCGCUCGCCGUGGGGUGACUCAGCUGCAGGACUCCUACCAGCACGCGUGGGUACCUCACCCCCAAACUGCAGGGCUG
Molecule: long non-coding RNA, 2315 nt
Organism: Harpia harpyja (harpy eagle)
Lineage: Eukaryota; Metazoa; Chordata; Aves; Accipitriformes; Accipitridae
Exons: 2
Source: RefSeq, a predicted model, not a curated record